GGUGUGUCCUUCACAUCUGUGUCACCGAGGUCCUGGGACAGGCCUGACCAGACAUUAACAGCAAUGAUGACAGCUGCCACUUGGUGGGCACGGGCCCUGUGGCCAAGCAUGCUCGGGGGUGGUGCCCCCAUGACCUCACUGAAUCCUGUUCAUCAAUCCAUUCCAGAUGAGAAGGAAGGAAGUAAACCACCAUGUAAGAAGUCAGACUACAGACUGCCUGGAGACUGCCGUGUCGUGAGGAAGCCCAAGCUAGCCAUAUGAAGUGACCACAUAGAGAAAGAAAGAGAGAUGUCCAAUGGCCUCUGCUAUCACCACCAUCCCAGCUGAAGCCCAGAUAUGAGUGAAGAAGCCAUCUACGAUGGCCAACCCCAGUGACCAUUCAGGAAACUCCAGCCCUGCCACUACUGACAGCCACUGCAGAUCAGACAGCAAGAGAACUGCCCAGCUGAGCCCAGUCUACCCACAGGACCAAGUGUGCACUUGCUUGGCUGCCUGAGGAGACCAGACCUAGCAGCCAAACCAUGUGGCUUUGGCCAAAUUCCUGGUGUGACAGGUAAUUGCGGUUUUCCUAGGAGCUUCACCUGGGCACCUGCUAGAAACUUGGAUUUCUUAAAAAAUUAGACACGAUUCAGGUAGUCAAAUGCACAAAUCAUUGUGUGCAACGAGGUAGGUUUUUACAUGUGACCUCCCUGGUCCAGAUACGGAACAUUUUUGGCACCCCAGAAAUCUCCCUUGUGCCUACCACUAGUCCAUGUACCACACCAGGAACCCAGGGGAACCCACUGUUCUGAAGACUGUCUCCAUAGUGACGUUUUGCCUGUUCUUGAACUUCUAUAAGUGGACUUGUACAACAUGGACCUUCUUUGAAAAAAGGUAUUUGACUGC
Bos taurus (domestic cattle) is the source of this 885-nucleotide long non-coding RNA. Lineage: Eukaryota; Metazoa; Chordata; Mammalia; Artiodactyla; Bovidae. The record is from Ensembl.